ACAGGGAGGGUGCCCGGCCGCGCUCCGCCUCGGGCAGCGGCGCCCGGGGAAGCUGCGGCCGGGGCGGCCCGGGGGCCUCGGCCGCUGCCGGGCGGGAUGUGCCGAGAACCGGCUUCCAGGCUGGUGCGGCGCCCGGCCCUGAGCCCGAGCAAAGGGCUCCGUUGAGCGGGGACGCCUCCCUGCCGGAACCGCAAGCCCCGAGACAGCCCCGCUCCGGGCAGCGCCUGCGGGCGGCGAGCGGCGUCUGGCGCUGCCGGAGGCAGCCGGGCCCCUCGGGUUACUGAGGGAUACCCGCCGCCCGUCCUUGGGGCUGCUCCGUGGUUUCCUCUAUCGCUGUGCAUAAACUACUUAAACUAGUUAACGGAGUGGCUGAGAACAGGCGUGGCUAUCUCAAGAGUUUUUGUCUGCGUCCAGGGCUUUUAAUACCAGUUUUGUAAGAUAGUCGUGCCUAGCUUUUAAAUUAAGAAGUUGCUCCAGCUGAGUUUAACAUCUCAACACCUGCUAAAAUCCUGUAACUUUAAAAUACUGCACUAAUAUUGCAUGCUCUGUACAGUUUGCAUUGCACAGUAGUAACGCUGGCUGGCGAGGAGGUCUGAGGGGUUCUGGAGCUCCAAACUGAUGGAAGGCUCACAGCAAGUCAGUUUCCACCUUCCUGACUGCACAGUGGCGAUCUCAUUCCAUUCUUCUCAUUUGCCAGUUCUUACAGUUUGGGGUUGUUUGUGUGGCUGCAAGGUAAAAGAGUAAUUAUGAACCUGAUAAACCGAAGUGGCAUUUAUGGGAUGGAAGUGUUUUUGUUAGGCAGACUACAUGGUGAAGAGGUGUAGAUUCCUUCAGAAAAUGUAUCAUUUCAGCACAGGAAGUCAGAGCUGCAGUAGGAGUUUGCAGGCUGUCUCUGAUAAAAGCUGGCAUUCUUGUGUGUGUUUUUCAAGCUUAUAAAAAUUUUAAGAUGUGUCUGCAUUAUUGACUUUGCUGACAAAGUUGUGAAACUGCCCAGCUAAUAAAUGCAAACAGCAUCAGGUAUCAGUUAAUCAGAGAGAUGACGGACUGAUACUGCACAGUCUUUAUGUAACAACUGUAACAAGUUCCAACCCUAUUGUCUACUGCAGGACUGGACUAUGCUUAGAUGUGUAGUGAUUGUCUAUCUAUAAAGCGUAAUGAGUGUGUCUGGAAUGAAGGAAGAAACUUGACUUGGCUGCAAAAUUUCAUGGAUCUUUCUGGAUUACGUUUCAGAUUCCCAUUGGAUUUUGCUGCUGCAUCUCCUCUGAUGGCUAUAAUCAUGACUGCAUGGUCACUUGGAUGGAUUAAGGGUCACCAAAGGAGAGGUUUGGGCCUUUCCUGUCUUACCUAGUGACAUACUACUACUGAUGUGACAACACUAGCACUUGCACAGUUGUGUAUUGUGCUGUACCUCACAGUAACCACCGGAGAGGAUGCAGGUGGUAGUUCUCCUUUUAUAGUGACAAACAGUGAUACUCACCUGACGUGACUGACUGUUGAAUCGUAUCUGAAGUCACCAAUGACCUAUUUACAUUUAAACUAGUUAGCUUUCUACUUCCAAGUGGCAGAUAAGCCACUAUCUCUGAAGUGCAUCUACUAGUUAUCUCUUUGCAUCUGCACAGUGAAAGUUUCUAGAAGUGGUAUCUGCCUGUAGGUAUCUACUAAUAGUGCAGCUGUAUCCUACUGGGUGAAAAAAAAAACAGUUAAUGUGAAUUUUCUAGUUCUUGGGUACCUGUGUGCCAAGUUUUUUCUUUCUGCAUCCUGAUUAUAUAAACCAUGUCAACUGUAUAGAACAACCUUCAUUAGCACAUUGAGAUUAUUUUUUAUGAUGAGCCACUGGAAAAAUAACAAUACUAUACCAUUUUAUUUCAUUACUAAUAAAAAAUUGCAGAAUCAAAAGUGUGGUCUCUUCAGUCAUGUAGUUUUGCUUGUCUACAGUUGUACUGAAAACUGUUUUGCUAAGAAUAUACUUAAUUUUUGUUAGGAAGAAACAACUGAUCCAACUGUUGGUAUUUUAAAAUAAUGGGAGCAUUAUUCUGGACACUGGAGAAAAUUAUUGAACAUCUGUCAAACAAACUUUGUCAAUGGAUUCAGGGCUGUUGCUACAGGUGUGGGGGAAGUGAUAGGGAUUUUGCACAUUCCUGCACUUACUUGUAUAUAUUUGUACAUAUUUAUUGUAUCAUUAGUAUUUAAUUAAAGCUGUCUAGUUUGGUUUUUGA
Long non-coding RNA from Apus apus (common swift), 2216 nucleotides. RefSeq lists it as uncharacterized. NCBI's taxonomy places the organism in Eukaryota, Metazoa, Chordata, Aves, Apodiformes, Apodidae. The transcript has 2 exons. The record is from RefSeq and is a predicted model, not a curated record.